This 155-nucleotide non-coding RNA is filed under the name Clostridium sp. RNAcentral's name for it is "GlcN6P sequence". It matches the Rfam family "glmS glucosamine-6-phosphate activated ribozyme aptamer". Rfam says of the family: This entry contains a glucosamine-6-phosphate activated ribozyme that is found in the mRNA for GlmS. The record is from RNAcentral. Lineage: Bacteria; Bacillati; Bacillota; Clostridia; Eubacteriales; Clostridiaceae.
AUAAUUGAAAUAGCGCAUGAGUGUUAUAAAACACUGACGAGGAUAACAAGUGUCGAACUUUCAGCGGAUCUUGUUACGGAGUUUGGUAUUAUACGUAAAGUAUGUUUUAAAAAUUCAAAUCGAAGAUGAAUACAAAGAACAUACUAAAUACUUAA